Molecule: ribosomal RNA, 254 nt
Filed under: uncultured bacterium
Lineage: Bacteria
Description: partial 16S ribosomal RNA
Rfam family: Bacterial small subunit ribosomal RNA
Source: RNAcentral
CACGUAGGCACCAAGCGUUGUCCGGAUUUAUUGGGCGUAAAGAGCUCGUAGGCGGCUUGUCGCGUCGUCCGUGAAAACUUGGGGCUCAACCCCAAGCUUGCGGUCGAUACGGGCAGGCUAGAGUUCGGUAGGGGAGACUGGAAUUCCUGGUGUAGCGGUGAAAUGCGCAGAUAUCAGGAGGAACACCGGUGGCGCAAGGCGGGUCUCUGGGCCGAUACUGACGCUGAGGAGCGAAAGCGUGGGGAGCGAACAGG